RNAcentral lists this ribosomal RNA (1504 nucleotides) under metagenome. Its description in RNAcentral is "bacterial LSU rRNA". It matches the Rfam family "Bacterial large subunit ribosomal RNA", at positions 1437 to 2925 of the family's 2925-position model. The record is from RNAcentral.
CCCUGUACUUUGCUGGACUGCGAUGGGGGGACGGAGAAGGCUAGGUCAGCCGGGUGUUGGUAGUCCCGGUUUAAGCGAGUAGGCAGGGGUUUUAGGCAAAUCCGAAACCUCAAUGCUGAGACGUGAUGACGAGCUCCUUUGGAGCGAAGUGAUUGAUGCCAUGCUUCCAGGAAAAGCCUCUAAGCUUCAGGUUCAGUGAAACCGUACCCCAAACCGACACAGGUGGGCAGGGUGAGAAUCCCAAGGCGCUUGAGAGAACUCGGGUGAAGGAACUCGGCAAAAUAGUACCGUAACUUCGGGAUAAGGUACGCCCGCGUAAGGUGAAGGACCCGCGUCCGGAGCCUGAACGGGCCGCAGUGACCAGGCCGCUGCGACUGUUUACUAAAAACACAGCACUCUGCUAACACGAAAGUGGACGUAUAGGGUGUGACGCCUGCCCGGUGCCGGAAGGUUAAUUGAUGGGGUCAGCCGCAAGGCGAAGCUCUUGAUCGAAGCCCCGGUAAACGGCGGCCGUAACAAUAACGGUCCUAAGGUAGCGAAAUUCCUUGUCGGGUAAGUUCCGACCUGCACGAAUGGCGUAACGAUGGCGGCGCUGUCUCCACCCGAGACUCAGUGAAAUUGAAAUCGCUGUGAAGAUGCAGUGUACCCGCGGCUAGACGGAAAGACCCCGUGAACCUUUACUACAGCUUUACACUGGACUUUGAGUCUUCUUGUGUAGGAUAGGUGGGAGGCUAUGAAGCGCGCACGCCAGUGCACGUGGAGCCAACCUUGAAAUACCACCCUGGAAUACUCGAGGUUCUAACCUCGGCCCGUGAUCCGGGUCAGGGACAGUGUAUGGUGGGUAGUUUGACUGGGGCGGUCUCCUCCCAAAGAGUAACGGAGGAGUGCGAAGGUACCCUCAGCGCGGUCGGAAAUCGCGCACUGAGUGCAAAGGCAUAAGGGUGCUUAACUGCGAGACAGACACGUCGAGCAGGUGCGAAAGCAGGUCUUAGUGAUCCGGUGGUUCUGUAUGGAAGGGCCAUCGCUCAACGGAUAAAAGGUACUCCGGGGAUAACAGGCUGAUUCCGCCCAAGAGUCCAUAUCGACGGCGGAGUUUGGCACCUCGAUGUCGGCUCAUCACAUCCUGGGGCUGUAGCAGGUCCCAAGGGUAUGGCUGUUCGCCAUUUAAAGUGGUACGCGAGCUGGGUUUAGAACGUCGUGAGACAGUUCGGUCCCUAUCUGCCGUGGGCGUUGGACGUUUGAGGGGAGCUUCUCCUAGUACGAGAGGACCGGAGUGGACGUACCUCUGGUGUUCCGGUUGUCAUGCCAAUGGCACUGCCGGGUAGCUAUGUACGGACGGGAUAACCGCUGAAAGCAUCUAAGCGGGAAGCCCACCCCAAGAUGAGACGUCCCGAGUCCCUGAGACUCCUGAAGGUUCGUCGAAGACUACGACGUUGAUAGGCUGGGUGUGGAAGCGCAGUAAUGCGUGUAGCUAACCAGUACUAAUUGACCGUGCGGCUUGACC